RNAcentral lists this unclassified non-coding RNA (333 nucleotides) under soil metagenome. RNAcentral describes it as "partial contains 5.8S ribosomal RNA, internal transcribed spacer 2, and large subunit ribosomal RNA". The stretch from base 5 to 119 matches the Rfam family "5.8S ribosomal RNA", at positions 40 to 154 of the family's 154-position model. The record is from RNAcentral.
GAUGAGAACGCAGCGAAAUGCGAUAAGUAGUGUGAAUUGCAGAAUUCAGUGAAUCAUCGAAUCUUUGAACGCACAUUGCGCCCUGUGGUAUUCCGCAGGGCAUGCCUGUUCGAGCGUCAUUGACACCCUCAAGCUCUGCUUGGUCUUGGGCGUUUGUGCCUGCCGUUGCGCAGGGACUCGCCUCAAACUCAUUGGCAGCCUGCCUUUGCCGGUCUUUGCACAGCACAGUCGUGCCAAAGCCGCGGUGAGCAGGCGCUCCACAAGCCCUUUUCAGCUUGACCUCGGAUCAGGUAGGAAUACCCGCUGAACUUAAGCAUAUCAAUAAGCGGAGGA